GGGGAUACAACGAUAAUGCGAUGAUCGUGGAAAUAUGAAGAACAUAAGAAGGAAGGGGAAUUUACUUGUUCCGUGUCCCGGAAACUUAAAGCUAUGUACCGGAAAAAGUACAAGAAUACACGGGUCCAGCGGCAUAUUCCGGAAACGCGUUCCGAUGGAGCGUAAAGACCCAAUCAACAUUCACCAUACCCAUUGUUUCAACAGCUGCGAAAACAGACACCAUCAAGAAUACAUUGCAUUUUCUGACUGACACCUGCGUUGUACUAGUUGUACUAGCUACGGACGAAUCUUUUUGAAUCGACUGAAGGAACACUGAUACAAGGAGAACCAAAUCUUUGCUUUUCUCCAGACUGUUGGUACCGCAGCCAGUCAAGCUCUUCUCAGUUGCCCCCAGAACUGCAAAUACAGUAAUCCGCUUUAUUCGCUAGGUACCGUAAAGAAAUUGCAACAUCCAUAGAUCCAGACGCUUCUCAUGACAUUCAACACUGCGACCUGUGACCACAGCAGCGGAUAGAACUACAUUCAGGUCCAUGCAGCAAGUGGAAAAUUCCGGAACAAAGCAAAUAUGGCAAUUAUUGUUAUAGCAUUGUAUUUUUAUUAAUAAUAUAAUAUUUACAACUUUAUAAAAAAAAAUGUAUGAACAAAUAUUUUCGUUCAGAAUACGAUUCAUGUUAUAGACUCUAAAACCAAUGAAAGGACGUUGAAACGAUGGAGUUAUUGUUAUUUUCAUUGAGUUUUCAGUCUAUGGUGGGAAUCGGAUCAGAACGAAAACGGAAUUAAAUAACAUCACUAAUUACUUUUGAGAGAAACACGACAUUCAUCGGGUCUCAAAUAAAACUAAACACAAAUUAUUACAGAUUUCAUAUGUAAACACAAUUCGAAAUAAUGGGCCUACAAUUUGGAUUCUAUUCGUUUCACACGUUAACAUCGUGUGGAUGGCUUAUUGACGGAUGAUGAGAUUCGAAUGAGCGAAAUCGUAAGUUUUACACAUGACAUUGAUUUGCUUUGUCAACAUGCGCAAAUGUAUGUGUCAAACACAAGGCCUUCUCGUGUAUUUUUUUAU
Armigeres subalbatus is the source of this 1063-nucleotide long non-coding RNA. RefSeq lists it as uncharacterized. NCBI's taxonomy places the organism in Eukaryota, Metazoa, Arthropoda, Insecta, Diptera, Culicidae. The transcript is spliced from 4 exons. The record is from RefSeq and is a predicted model, not a curated record.